Non-coding RNA from Microcebus murinus (gray mouse lemur), 195 nucleotides. The record is from RefSeq and is a predicted model, not a curated record. NCBI's taxonomy places the organism in Eukaryota, Metazoa, Chordata, Mammalia, Primates, Cheirogaleidae.
UCAGCCUAGCCCAGCAUCACCAUGGUGGACGCCUUCCUGGGCACCUGGAAACUAGUGGACAGCAAGAAUUUCGAUGACUACAUGAAGUCAAUCGGGGUGGGUUUUGCUACCAGACAGGUGGCCAACAUGACCAAGCCUACCACAAUCAUCGAAAAGAAUGGGGACACUAUCAUCCUAAAGACACAGAGCACCUUC